AUGUUCUUCCGGUCCAUGCAUCCUAAUAAUAGCGAGUUGUUCCCGGUAAUUUGUGUCAAAUGCAUCCCCCCGCACACAUAAAUAGCCAUAAGAAAACUAACUUAGUGAGCGUUUGAACUGAAGUGCCAUUAAACUCUGAAACACUACGCAAAUAAAUUUAAAAGACGACGUUAAACCACCAAAAGCAAGUAACGGUGUGAACCUCACUCAUGAUUGGAGCGCAAUACAGUAUAACGAAAAAAAAAAACAAUGGCUUUCUGCAUCGAUGGCUGCCAUCGUCAGGAGGCAAAUAGAUGAGUGAGUGAACUUGCAGUGAGGUUAUGCAACGCUCCAGCAGCUGCCUGCCUGCCAAGCCACUCUGUCGUGUUAUUGGCCUGCAUGAUGGGAGACUCCGGCCCGCCCAUUGCAAUAGAACCAGCCCUGGUUACUCAUUCAUCUCAGCUGACAUGAGGAGACAAAGGUCUGAAACCCAGGCGCUACUCCGAACCCGAGCUGAUCAAUGAAAGACGGUUCAUCUUGGCUGUGAAUUUGCACUUUGAUCCCAGCUUCAAAAGAUGUCUCAUCUGAUUAAAUGAAGAAAAACAGGAAGGUACUCAUCUUGCUGAAUGUCCAGCAUCAGUUCAAGUCCGUUUCCCAUUCCUCCCUUGGUGGUUAUGAGAGGAGGGCGAUCGUCACCGCCGGCGUUGAAGGUAUAACACUUGCCGUAACGAGUGAAAACCUGAAAGAAAUGAGAAACUUUUCUUCAACUUUUCCACUGGGGGUCAGUGUUUGUCUCCAUUUAUGCAUGAUCAUGAAGAAGCAGAAGGGAGGCUUUUUAGAGAAGAAAAAAAACCAACAAUAGAGACAAGGGCAGACAGGAGAAAAAUAAAAGACCCAAUUUUCUACUCCUGGCUUUGGGUGAAAGAGCUAUAUCAGUAAGAUUCUGGCAUCUAACAGGCUGAUUUAUGACCGUUACAUUGAAUCUCAUGUUACCAUGGAGACCAAGCAUGCCAGGUUUGAAGAAAGCUACUAUACAGAUGUUUGAUGGGAAGCAGUGUGCGCUAUUAACCAAAGACACGUGCAACAUAACUCAGUGGCAGUAGGUGAAUACUCGUAGACGAAUAAUCUGCCAGGAUUGACUUUCUUCUUGGCAAAGAAUUCAUCUUAGAUUGGAGCUGUUGGAGUGAGAGUGGGAGGACGGUAAUACAAAGUCAGGGAGACAGAUGUGUGGGGAGAUACUGUACAUGGGGAGUCCUAUGACACACAACAUUUUCAUCUUUGCUUUUGAGAGAACGAACCAAAAAUGCAGUUUUAAAAUAAAGAACAGUGUUAAUAAGCAUAGAAAUUGGUGAAUUAGAGUCAAAUGCGGAGUUAAGGCACAAAUAAUACAAUAGUUCAUUAAUUUGAUUGCAAUCUAGACAAAGACAGACUUUCU
Doryrhamphus excisus (bluestripe pipefish) is the source of this 1414-nucleotide non-coding RNA. Lineage: Eukaryota; Metazoa; Chordata; Actinopteri; Syngnathiformes; Syngnathidae. The record is from RefSeq and is a predicted model, not a curated record.